GGAUCCUACGGGGCGCAGCAGUGGGGAAUAUUGCACAACGGGGGAAACCCUGAUGCAGCGACGCCGCGUGAAGGAUGAAGUAUUUCGGUAUGUAAACUUCUAUCAGCAGGGAAGAAAAUGACGGUACCUGACUAAGAAGCCCCGGCUAACUACGUGCCAGCAGCCGCGGUAAUACGUAGGGGGCAAGCGUUAUCCGGAUUUACUGGGUGUAAGGGGAGCGUAGACGGCAAGACAAGCCUGGAGUGAAAGGCGGGGGCCCAACCCCCGGACUGCUCUGGGAACUGUCUGGCUGGAGUGCCGGAGGG
This 305-nucleotide ribosomal RNA is filed under the name uncultured bacterium. RNAcentral's name for it is "bacterial SSU rRNA". It matches the Rfam family "Bacterial small subunit ribosomal RNA", at positions 334 to 656 of the family's 1533-position model. The record is from RNAcentral.